This 510-nucleotide ribosomal RNA is filed under the name uncultured bacterium. RNAcentral's name for it is "bacterial SSU rRNA". It matches the Rfam family "Bacterial small subunit ribosomal RNA", at positions 28 to 537 of the family's 1533-position model. The record is from RNAcentral.
GACGAACGCUGGCGGCGUGCCUAACACAUGCAAGUCGAGCGGAGUCGAUCGACGGAAGCCUUCGGGCGGAAGAUGGUUGACUUAGCGGCGGAUGGGUGAGUAACGCGUGGGCAACCUGCCUCGAAGACCGGGAUAACAGCCCGAAAGGGCUGCUAAUACCGGAUGUGGUCAAGGAUCCGCAUGGAUUUUUGAUUAAAGGGGAAACCCGUUUCGAGAUGGGCCCGCGUCCUAUCAGCUAGUUGGUGAGGUAAAAGCUCACCAAGGCGACGACGGGUAGCCGGCCUGAGAGGGUGACCGGCCACACUGGAACUGAGACACGGUCCAGACUCCUACGGGGGCAGCAGUGGGGAAUCUUCCACAAUGGGCGAAAGCCUGAUGGAGCGACGCCGCGUGAGCGAAGAAGGCCUUCGGUUGUAAAGCUCUGUCUGGAGGGACGAAGGAAGUGACGGUACCUCCGGAGGAAGCCACGGCUAACUAACGUGCCAGCAGCCGCGGUAAUGAGUAGUACAA